UAGGGAAUCUUCGGCAAUGGGGGGAACCCUGACCGAGCAACGCCGCGUGAGUGAAGAAGGUUUUCGGAUCGUAAAGCUCUGUUGUUAAGGAAGAACGAGUGUGAGAAUGGAAAGUUCAUACUGUGACGGUACUUAACCAGAAAGGGACGGCUAACUACGUGCCAGCAGCCGCGGUAAUACGUAGGUCCCGAGCGUUGUCCGGAUUUAUUGGGCGUAAAGCGAGCGCAGGCGGUUAGAUAAGUCUGAAGUUAAAGGCAGUGGCUCAACCAUUGUAGGCCUUGGGAACUGUUUAACUUGAGUGCAGGAAGGGGGAAUGGAAUUCCAUGUGGAGCGGGGAAAUGCGUAGGUAUAUGGAGGAAAACCGGUGGCGAAAGCGGCUCUGUGGUCUGUAACUGACGCUGGGGCUCGAAAGCGUGGGGAGCGAACAGG
RNAcentral lists this ribosomal RNA (429 nucleotides) under Bacteroidota bacterium. RNAcentral's name for it is "Bacteroidetes bacterium partial 16S ribosomal RNA". It matches the Rfam family "Bacterial small subunit ribosomal RNA", at positions 355 to 776 of the family's 1533-position model. The record is from RNAcentral. Lineage: Bacteria; Pseudomonadati; Bacteroidota.